Molecule: long non-coding RNA, 2614 nt
Filed under: Triticum aestivum (bread wheat)
Lineage: Eukaryota; Viridiplantae; Streptophyta; Magnoliopsida; Poales; Poaceae
Description: long non-coding RNA (TAES_LNC004154)
Source: RNAcentral
AUGUUUCUCCUUCAAGUCCUCGUUUCUCAGGAAACAUGCCGUUUAAGAAUGCAAUCAGCAACCCCGGGUCAGAAUGAUUAUCAGAACAUAUACAGAUAACCAGUGAAAUCAAAUAUAGGCACUUUCAGCACAUAUUCCUACAAGCAAGCAGCACUCCUUAUUUUUUCCAAAGUUCCAAAACAAUAGAACAAACAUCCCUUUGCCACAUUCUACAGUUUCUUCUAUUACAAAGUGAAGCAAAACAAAUUGUGCUGGCUCCAGAUAUAAGCAACAAAACAUGGCAGAAUAAAAGAUUCCACAAUACUAGUAACACCUUCAGAUAUAAAAGCAUGUUGUUGUGCAAUGAAGCAAACCAGAGCGGUACAAUCUACCAGAUUGACAAAGCACAAUGCAUUGCUUGCCAAGAAAUUGCACAUAUAUGUAACAGUUCAGAUUUGCUAAACUAAACAGGGUGCUACUCCUAAAUCUAAAAGGCAUAUAUUACAACUCUUGUCAACUGCUAACACAGACGAUUCCCCUAAUUACACAGCAAGAACACCAAAAGCAUGAAGAUGUUUCUGCUCCGGAAUCGUUAGACCAGCCAUUUGGUCGUUUUGCAUGUUUCCUGGAUGUUGAAAGCAUGCACAUCAUCGAUUGGAACAUCUGCCUCCUUAAAGAGCCACCUAGAUAAGCAAUGGUUUUAUCCUGCAUUCUGAAACAUGUCCAAAUUAGUGCGAGCUGGUUACAUGAAAAGUUAAGAUGUCCCUAGCAAAAAUAGUGUAUUUGCAUACUUGCAUAUCAUCUCGUAAAAAUUCAUAUCAAAGGAACAUCAACAUAUACCUUCAAGAAAAUUGAGCGGCUUUAAACACUAGCAUCUUUGUCUUGGAAUUAACAUGGCCUUAAUAUAGUUCACAAAUUAACAUAGCUAAAUGAAACAAUAUUGCUACAGAUCACUUGAUGAGUUCAGAUUCCUACAUCAUCCCAUGGUAGGCACAAAAGCACACCUACAGGAUAAAAUAAAGAACUAGGACCUAAAAAACUUUGAAGAAAACAAUACGACAUUAAAUAUGGGAAAUGGCAAAUAACCUUCGAGACUGGUGCACCUUCUUAUCCCCCUGAUCUAUUUUCAAGCUUCUUGACCUAUAAGACCAUGUAAAAAAAAUCAUUUGUUGAACUACGAGACCAUGACAUGCUCACAAACAAUUGAGUUAUAUUCACCUAUUUUUUCCCCCUUUUUCCGUUUGUUGUCGGGUGUGAACCCUGCUUCCUCUUUGUGCUAAUAGUGUAUUUACCCAUAACAUUUGUUAAAUCUCAGCUCAACAUUAAUGGUCAGUAAGCUAGUUUAUUACAGCUGCAUACAUUUCUAGUACUCAGUUGUCCCAGCCUGACAUAGAAUUCAACUGGGAUUUUUGUUAGUCAAACAUUCUUGGGCCUCGUCUGGUAUGAAUUUAGUGAAUCACUCAAUCUAUAGACAGUACUUCGAAAUAGUCUAAAUGUCACUUACUCGACUAAAAAUACAUUUUGGUCUGAACUUGCGCUAGUCUGUACAUGUGAUUUUCAACUAUACUAUAUGUAAGAAAGAUUCUAUUACACUCUAUAAGAAAGAUUAUGUGUAUAAUUCAGCUAGAAAUAUUAAGAGAGGAAGCAGCAGACAACAUUUAAACACUGCUAGAUUUUCAUGCUUAGCAAUAUGUUGUAACAGAGUGACUGAACAAGAACUUUUGUCCGCAUAGCAAGCAUUCUUCUAAUUCUGCAAAGAUUAAAAUAUUGAUGCAUAUAUUUGCUCUGAACUAACUUAAACAUCUGCUGGUACUGCAUGGCGAGACAUGAAAUUUCCAUAACCACAACUAACAUUAGAUGUAGUUGUACUUUCCGCUUCUUUUGUUUGUUGUCAUACAGUUGCAACAGCUACUUUCAGUUCAUAAUUUUAGGCACAUCAUAGCAGACUUCAAGGACUGCAUUAUGGAUAGCAAUACACGAUACUAUGAAAUUGGAGGAUGAACUAACCAAAUGCAGUGCAGCUCCUUCAAUAUUUGUUGAGGAACGUGCAGCAGGCAAGUACGGACUACAACUCACGCCUGCUCCAGAAUCGCUAAUGCAUGCAUCUCACUACAAUUGGAGAAAUCGACCGAACGACACCGACUCCCGCAGCGCGGACAUCCAAUCCUAAAAUCAAAUGAGCAAAAUAAAAAAAUCAAGUGCGAGAAAUGACCACAUGCGUAUGGCGAAGGAGGCGCUGCCUCUUACCUGAUCGUCCUUGCCGAGGGUCUCCGGCUCCCGCGACGCGUUUGGCUCCAGCGACGGCGGGGGAAGGUCCAUCUCGACUCCUAUGAAACUGACCGGAUCUGAGCCAAGGAAUCCGCAGGCGCGCGAGCCUUAUAGGUUGCGCUGGAUCUGGGCUAGCAACAGUGGAUGGGGGAAUAUGCCCUAGGCAGCGGCGGCGGCGAAUUGUAUCAGGGAAGAAGCGAACAGAGAAGAUGGAUAUUCACUUCGUCGCUGAAUUAGGGAAUAAAGCAGGGUGUUUUCUGCAUACACUGCAACGCCAAGGGACCCUCUCAAUCCUGUACCACCAGUCCAGAUCGAACGGCCCACCUAGUCUUGUAUCACGGGAGCACCUCAGGUCUCCUAUCAUCAG